RNAcentral lists this long non-coding RNA (8675 nucleotides) under Daucus carota (carrot). Its description in RNAcentral is "long non-coding RNA (DCAR_LNC002042)". Lineage: Eukaryota; Viridiplantae; Streptophyta; Magnoliopsida; Apiales; Apiaceae. The record is from RNAcentral.
GAAUUAUAGAAUUGGAUUAUUGUUUUUAUAUAAACCUGUGGACCAGAUUCGUGGUCAUGUUAGGCCAAUGAGUGCCUUGGAUCCAGUGAUAGAGCAUGGCGGGGCCUGCUCGGGGUUAGUGCGGAACUGAUCAGCUGCCUAACCUUGGUUUUAAUUAAAAUGUGAUAGUCCAAUUCAAUAAUUCUUUGGAAAGAUUGAAUUUCUCAGUUUAAAUGAUGCAAGGUAUUGUAAAUCAUUCUAUACAAUACCAUGAACUCAUGAACUCAGGUUGAAUUCUCUUAUAUCUUGAACUCGUGAACUUCUGUUAUAUCAUUUCAGAACUAUCAUUGUUUAUUAUUACUUGCUGAGCAUUGUUGCUCACCCUUGCUAUUCCUUUCUAACCAUUUCAGAAAGGCUGAAAGAUAAGAUGAUUGAUUGAGAUUGUGGAUAAGGCUAAUGCUAGGCGAGGAGACAGAGUUGAGGAUCCAGUGGUCGAGGAGUAUUCAGGAAAGUUGAUAAGGUUGGUGCUAGCUAGAGUUAUGCUAUGAAGUUUCAGAUGUAAGUCAUGGCUGGAGUAAGUUGACAGUGAUUCUUCUUAUCGAAGAUGAUCUGAUUUGGUAAGGGAUGUUGUGUAGUAUUAGUGGUGGAUUCUAAUUUCAAUACUGUAACCUGGAAGCGAUCCUGUUGUUUUUGGGGGUUAAAAUGUUCUCUUUCGAAUCAGCUAUUAAAGUUUAAAUGUUCUCUGAAAAGUUCUUUUAUGAUGGUUUUCAAAUUUAAAAUUCAGGUUUUGAAAUCAUUUGAUUUAUGUUCUCAUACAAAUCUUUUAUUAAAUGUUUCAAGUUUUAAAUUCUUGUGGAUUUUCAUUAUCUUUAAUAAAAAUACAGGGUUUCACAAGUGUUUUAAAAAGGGUUUUGUGUGGUGACGUCAGAAUCCAGACCCCCGGAUUCCUGGACUGUCACAGUUGGUAUCAGAGCAACAGGUUAUAAGUAUUUGAAAUUAGAAUAUAGAUCAUAGUUAUAGGUUUUCUAGAGAAGAAUGUUGGGUGACCUCGGAUAGAGGUAUUGUGAGACUAUUUAGAAAUAGUCUAGGGAUGUGAUAGAGAAAUAGAAUCUAGUUAAAUGAUUAAGUUGAGUGCAUAAGUUUAAAGAGAUUUUGAUUCCUAAGUUAGACAUAUGAUUUUUAGUAUGUUGACUAAUUGAGAUGAUGAAUUGUGAGAAAGGUCAGUAUUAGACCUAUACAGAAGAGUUUGAUAAUGAAUGACUGAGUUGAAAAUGGUGAAAAUGCAGAGUUCAGAGUAUUCUGACUAUACUGCAUAUUUGAAAUUAGAUUAUUGUAUUGAUUUGAGGAUGAUAUAAAUGCAUGGUUCAUAGUAUGUUGACCAUGUCAGAUAUUUGAAAGAUGUAUAUUGUUUUGGAGUGAAGAUAUGAACAGUAAGUGUAGAGUAUGAGUUGUAUUGGAUUAGAAGGAGAGAUUGGUAGAUAGAGGUUGAUAGGUGAGAAGUGAAUGAUAGAGAGUACGUGGAAUUGAGUCCAGUUAUUAGAGAUGAUGUCUACAAGUAAGUUAGAACGUUAGUUCUCGACGACUACGCUUUAAGUUAAGCGGGACAAGGUGGGCCCAUAACCCACAGGUUGACGAGUCAGAAAAUAGAAGAUACGCUACGUGUCGUGCUAUGGAAUUCAAAGGCAACUGGAUGAAACAUGAGAACGUGAACUACUUGGGCCAGACUUAUUAUGAACUAUAACGUCUACGAUGACAUCUUACGAGGCUAUUACGAGUCAACAUCGAUCGAUUAUCGAGAACGUUGAAAAGAAGACAUAUAUCGAACAAUGAUUUAUUGAAGCAGAGUGAAAAUCUGAGAAGACCUUGGCAAUACCUCUCUUCAACUAAGAUUCUUUUGGAUUGUUUUUCUCAUCAGUGAGAUAUUAUCAUGAUAUCCUUUCGACCAAAGUUUCGAUAAAUGAGAUUUUCAAUUUCUCAAAUUCUAAGAUGACAUUAAUAUUGAUUAUUGGUGUGAGUUGGUAUUGAUUCAAGAUGUGUGAUAAAGGUUUGUUGUGAAGAGACAGUGAUGUUCCUUGAGAUAGUUUGACAUUUCUUGACAUCCUUGAUAUUCUUUCAUCUUCUUUGAUAUCCCUUGAUGUUCUUUAAUAGUUGCAAUUCUUUGACAUUCUUUGAUAUUCUCGAUAUUCUUUGACAUUCUUUGAUAUUCCUUAAUAUAUUCCUCGAUAAUCCUUAACAUUCCUUGAUGCUCCUUGAGAUUUCUUGGAUUCUUUCCAUCUGAUUGGGAUGAACAACCCUAUGUAUAGGGGACACAAGGUAUACCUGUCUGUGUGAUAGGAGUUGGAUGGGACGCCAUCACUUGUGUGUGUUGUGAUUACAAGAAGGUUAACAACCUUUAGUAGUGUCUAAUAUGGACACGCAACAUUAAGUUCAUUUGAUCGUAUUGAUCUCCCAGUCACUCUUGUAUUCCAAUGUGACCUAUUUUGAAAACAGCUUGUUCCUCCAAAAUUCUCAAAAAUUGAUUCUUGAGAAAUGAAUUCUGCAAUUGUGAAAGUGUUGAUAUUCCUAUUUCUUUAAAAUUGAAGGUAUGCCAAGGUUGAUUAAGGGCGGAUGAGCAUGUGAUGUUAUGAAACGUGUACAAUGAUUUUACAAAUGAUAUGUUUUAGUUUCUUCGGAGGAUUCCGAGGACGGAAUCCUUAUAAGGGGGGUAGAAUGUAAUAUCCCGUAUUAUUAAAUUUAGAUUUGAUUAUUAUAAAUCUAUUUGUCUAAAUAUAAUUGUUGGCUUUAAUGGAAUAGUGAUCUGAUUAUGUGAAUAGUGUGUAUGUGAUUAUACUUGUUAUGUGGAUUAAUAUGGAUUUUACAGAUUAUGCGUCCUCCUUCUUUCUCUGAUUCCGAGGACGGAAUCCCUAUAAGGAGGGUAGAUUGUAAUGACCCGGAUUUUUAAAAAUAUUUUUAUUAGUAUUAAAAGUGAUUUUCUUCAAAGAAGGGAAUAAGAUUUAAUAUUUUAUUCCAGUUUAAUGAGUUUUCAAGGUUUUAUAUUUAAACCCCGGGUUAUUGUGUUAUUGAUAAAUAAUUGUAUUUUCAAAACUGAUUUUCAUAUAUUGUUUUGAAAAUUCUGUAUGAAUAUUAUGUGAAUAUAUGUGUUAUGUGAUUAAGUGGUAUUGGUGAAUUUGUUUGUUAAUUAGUUAUGAUUAAUUAUUAAUAUUAUAUGAUUAAUAUAUGAAUUUUUGUGAAUUUUGUGUUAUCUAGUUUAUUGAGCUGAAUGCUCGUAUGUGUUCGUAUUCGCGAGAUUUCAAUUUCUAUAUGCUCAGGAGAAAAUAUAGUUUAUUUGGAUAUUUUCAUAUCGAUUUAUGGAAUGUUAGAUGAUUUUAUAAUCGAUUUACGGAUUUAAUUGCGUAUAUUUAUAUUUAUUUAUUAAUUAUUUGACUUCCGUAAAACCGUCCACUCGUAACGAGGUAGCAAAUUUUCUUCCCGGAAGUUUCAACAAAACUCACCUUUAGCCUAAUUUGAAUAUUCCGGACACUUUUCGUGUUUUGACUUUUUCGAUCCGGAGUACGGUUUUCCCCGGAGUCGGUCCGGCGGAGUUUUUCGGGUAUUUUAAUUGUUGAUAAUUAUCCAGUUUGUCUCGAUAUACGUGAAAGCCAGAUAUUUUGAUUAUUAUAUUACUUUUUAUCGAAAUACGUGCAAAUGGGACCCCCAGACCAAUGAUUGAUUUAUAAUGCCCCGUUUUGAUGAUUAUCUCGAAAACCGGUACCGAUUGGACCCCGCUUUACUAAUAUAAAGCUAUUAAAUAUCGUAUUUUCAUGUCAUAAACGAUCCAAAGGGGUACCAAUUAUUUGUAAAUAUAAAUAGCCCUUUCUACACCUUAUUUUCAACCGUAAAUCAUUUCACCAGUUUCUUUUCACGAAUACCGAGAGAAACCGAGCUGCGUUCUUCGUGUUCUUCGUAAUCAAACGAGGAUUUGAAGGUGUUAUUGGAAUCCGAUGGAGGUGUAUGAAUAGUCAAAACGAAGCUAUCGACGCGUAGAAUCUAUUACUAUCAGUGGUUUCAGUGCAGAAUCGACAGGUUUUUGCUAAUUAAGGUUUUUAAUUUCGAAUUUAUAUGAUUUAAAUGAUGAAUUUUUGAAAACGUGAUUGUUUAAUUGUUUUGAUGAUUCUAUGAUGUAGAGCAUGUUUUUCUCGUCGUUUUGGUAUAUUAUAUGUCAAAAACGGAGUUCAAUAACAUGUAGAAAAGUCAGUUUGAUUAUUGAAACUGUUGUUCUUGGUGUUCUUGAGAAAGCUCGCCGGAAAAUUCUUGUUUUGGUCGGGAUUUUGAUUCGUUAAACCUGGGCAGAAGCUAAGCAUACCAUUGAAUAGAUCUUUGAGAGUAUAAUUGAGUGGUGGUGUCAGUUUGUUCAAAGGAGGCGAAACGAGUUCGCCGGAAAAUGGAGAAGUCGGCGGUGGCGCCGACCUUCAACCGGGUUUUACGGCAAAUUGGUGAAGUGCUUGUGAAAUCUGAAAAUACGAGUGGAUUGCUGGACAUCUGUAGAGUAUAUCUGCAGCUGGUGGUCGAGUUCUGGGCUCGAUGGAGCCUCCGGCGACGUCUCCGACGUCGUUCGGCGACGGUAGGGGGUGAUGACUGUAUAAUUACAGUUUAACCCCCGAACAAAUGAAGGUGGUGACUUUUAGUCACCCGAGUUUCAAAUCUUUCAAAACAAACCCUGAUACUUCGAAAACUUGCACUUUCAACCCUGCGUUUAAACUUUUGAAUAGUAACAAUUAAAACCUUUUCAAUUAUUUUUCAAAAAUUAUUUUUUUGGUCAUUUUUUUAUAGUUUUUAAUUAUUUCUUUAUUCAAAAACAAAUCGAAAUUAGUUUAUUAAUUAAUUUCAAUUGGUAAUUAAUUAUAUUAAUUGAUCAAUUAAUUUAAAUAUUAAUUGAUUAAUUAAUUUAAUUAGUUAUUAAUUGAUUUUAAUUGAUUAAUUAAUUGGAUUUAAUUAUCCUUUUUGAUUUAAAAAUUCCGAAAAAUAGUUUCGAGCUUUAAAAUAUUUUUCCAAAUCAUGUUCAAGGCUCGACAAUUGUUUAUGAAUGAUUUCAAGUCCAGUUUUGAGCAUCCGGACUUGAUUAUUUAUUUGAAAAAUGAUUCUUUUAUCCGUUUUAAUUCCGAAAAUGUUUAAAAAUUCCAGAAAAUUCCCGAAAAAAAAUCAUUUUUAACCCAAGAGUGAUUUGAUAUCAAUUGGGGUGGGAAACCUUAUAUGUAAUGUGUUAUCUGCUUUGUGUGUGAUGUGUUAUAUGUUGAUAGUGGAGUCAGAAAACGGCUUAGAUCAUAACUUUUGAUCUGUAAGUCGGAAUCAAGUGAAACGAAAGAGAGAUAGAAGCUCGUGAAGUCUAUUUUAAUAUGACAAGAUAAUAUGAUUGAAUCUAGAAUGUGAUUAUAUGCUAUGUAAUAUGCAAUAUGUAACCAUACGUGAUUUGUUUGUUAUGAAUUGAUGAUUACGUGAUAUAUGUGGUUAUUCCUAAUAUAGUACAUAUGUGAUAAAUGACUUAUAUGACAUAGUGUCAUGAUUUGAUAAGAACAUAUGGAUUAUAGGAAUUGGAAUUGGUUGAUUGGUUGUUGGUUGGGAAUAGGUUGACAGGUGGAUAGUCUUAUAACUAGACAAGAUGCUGGCAGAUUUUCGAUAUGAUUUAUAUGAUUAUUGAUUAUAACAUGUUAUGUAGAAUAUGACUUGACUAUAUGAUAAAGUCAAAGAAUGAUUAUGUGCUAAGUGAUAUGUGAUAAGUUUAAAGGGGUAUAUAAGUGGGUAUCGAUAUACGUGAUAUGUAUAUGCGAUAUAUUGUUUAGUGACUAUAGUAUUAUCUUAUUCUCGUAAAGGAUUUGGACGAGACGUGUACGCUCGAAGACGUCAGAAAGUCGGAAUGGUAUUGCAAAGCGAAUAAGGGAUGAAUCGAGUAAGCGAAGCGAUGUGGCGAAUAGAGUAUAGCUAGAGAUGGUCUAGAGAUUACGAGAUGCAUAGAUUGUGAAAGUUGAAAGAUGAGAAUGAGCUGUGAAACUGGAGUCAGAUUUAAGGCAAGUAUCCUAUACCCUUCUUUUGGAUAUCUUGCGAUUAUUCUGAUCCAUUCUUUUCGUAUGUGUUGCAAAUAUUCGUUCUUCUCUUUUCCAUAUUUGAAACUGUAAAUAUUUUAUCCAUCCUUUUCUAAUCCUCAAAAAAUACAGAUAAUUCCAGUUUUACAAAUUAAUUCGAAGUUCAGAUUGUCAUUGAAGCAUGUGUUGCUCAAUGAUGGUUAGAACCUAGAAUGACUUGGGAUCUUCUUGAUUAUUCAACCCGCCAUUGUCAUGCUGGUUUAGCAGGCUAAAUUCAGUUGCUUAGCCGAUAAUGGAGGAUACUGAAUAGUUAAGGAUUUCCUGAACUAUGAUUUAUGAAAGGAUGGACUCUGGUUUUGGUUGGAUGUCUUAUGUGUCGAUAUAAUAGUGAGAAAACGGUUUUAAACAUAUCUUUUGAUCCGUAAGUCGGAAUCGAGUGAAACGGAAGAGAGAUGAAAGCUUAUAAAGUCUAGUUUGAUAUGACAUAAUAAUAUGAUGGAGUCGAGAAUGUGAAUAAUUGUUGAUUAAUGUGCACAAUGUGAUUAUAUGUUAUUUGAUUGCUAUUAAUUGAUGAGUACGUGAUAUAUAUGUCUAUUCCUGAUAUUAUAUAUGUGAUAAAUGACUUAUAUGACAUAGUGUCAUGAUUUGAUUAAUAUUGGAUAAGAACAUAUGGAUUAUGGUGAUUGGAUUUGGUUGGUUGAUUGUUGAUGGAGAUAGGAUAACAUGUGGAUAGUCUAAUAAAUAGACGAGAUGCUGUCAAAUUUUCGAUAGGACUUAUAUGAUAAGUGAUUUGUGAUAUGUUAUGUGGAAUAUGACUUGACUAUAUGGUAGAGUCAAAGCAUGAUUACGUGUUAAGUGAUAUGUGAUAAGUUUAAAGGGGUAUAUAAGUGGGUAUCGAUAUGCGUGAUAUGUAUAUACGAUCGAUUGAUUAGUGAUUAUAUUAUUAUCUUAUUCUCGUUAAGGAUUGGACGAGACGUGGAUGACCGAAGACGUUCAGAAGGACAAGUGGUGUUCCAAAGCGAAUAAAGAAUGAGUCGAGUAAGCGAAGUGCUGUGGCGAAUAGAGUAUAGCUAGAGAUGGUCUAGAGAUUAUAAGAUGCAUAUAUUGUGAAAGUGGAAAGUUGAGAAUGAGCUGUGAGACGGGAGUCAGAUUUAAGGCAAGUAUCCUAUACCCUUCUUUUGGAUAUCUUGCGAUUAUUCUGAUCCAUUAUUCUCGUAUGUGUUGCAAAUAUUCGUUCCUCUCUUUUUCAUAUUUGGCAAGUGCAAAUAUUUUUAUCCAUCCUUUUCUAAUCCUCAAAAAUUCAGAUAAUUCCAGUUUUACAAAUUAAUUCGAAGUUCAGAUUGUCAUUGAAGCAUGUGUUGCUCAGUGAUGAUUAGAACCUAGAAUGACUUGGGAUCUUCUUGAUUAUUCAACCCGCCAUUGUCAUGCUGGUUUAGCAGGCUAAAUUCAGUUGCUUAGCCGAUAAUGGAGGAUACUGAAUAGUUAAUCUUGUUUAUUCACCCCGCCAUUGUCAUGCUGGUUUAGCAGGCUAAAUUCAGUUGCUUAGCCGAUAAUGGAGGAUACUGAAUAGUUAAGGAUUUCCUGAACUAUGAUUUAUGGAAGGAUGGACUCUGGUUUAUGAAAAGUUGAUUAUCAAAGUUUGAUUUGGAAUUAUUCUAUCAUUGAUAUUGAUUGUGUUUAUGUUCUGUUGUUAUACGUUGACCUGUUAUUGAAUUAUAGAAUUGGAUUAUUGUUUUUAUAUAAACCUGUGGACCAGAUUCGUGGUCAUGUUAGGCCAAUGAGUGCCUUGGAUCCAGUGAUAGAGCAUGGCGGGGCCUGCUCGGGGUUAGUGCGGAACUGAUCAGCUGCCUAACCUUGGUUUUAAUUAAAAUGUAAUAGUCCAAUUCAAUAAUUCUUUGGAAAGAUUGAAUUUCUCAGUUUAAAUGAUGCAAGGUAUUGUAAAUCAUUCUAUACAAUACCAUGAACUCAUGAACUCAGGUUGAAUUCUCUUAUAUCUUGAACUCGUGAACUUCUGUUAUAUCAUUUCAGAACUAUCAUUGUUUAUUAUUACUUGCUGAGCAUUGUUGCUCACCCUUGCUAUUCCUUUCUAACCAUUUCAGAAAGGCUGAAAGAUAAGAUGAUUGAUUGAGAUUGUGGAUAAGGCUAAUGCUAGGCGAGGAGACAGAGUUGAGGAUCCAGUGGUCGAGGAGUAUUCAGGAAAGUUGAUAAGGUUGGUGCUAGCUAGAGUUAUGCUAUGAAGUUUCAGAUGUAAGUCAUGGCUGGAGUAAGUUGACAGUGAUUCUUCUUAUCGAAGAUGAUCUGAUUUGGUAAGGGAUGUUGUGUAGUAUUAGUGGUGGAUUCUAAUUUCAAUACUGUAACCUGGAAGCGAUCCUGUUGUUUUUGGGGGUUAAAAUGUUCUCUUUCGAAUCAGCUAUUAAAGUUUAAAUGUUCUCUGAAAAGUUCUUUUAUGAUGGUUUUCAAAUUUAAAAUUCAGGUUUUGAAAUCAUUUGAUUUAUGUUCUCAUACAAAUCUUUUAUUAAAUGUUUCAAGUUUUAAAUUCUUGUGGAUUUUCAUUAUCUUUAAUAAAAAUACAGGGUUUCACAAGUGUUUUAAAAAGGGUUUUGUGUGGUGACGUCAGAAUCCAGACCCCCGGAUUCCUGG